UACGUAGGGACCAAGCGUUGUUCGGAUUUACUGGGCGUAAAGGGCGCGUAGGCGGCAAUUCAAGUCAGCUGUGAAAUCUCCGGGCUUAACUCGGAACGGUCAGCUGAUACUGCUUUGCUAGAGUGCGGAAGGGGCAAUCGGAAUUCUCGGUGUAGCGGCGAAAUGCGUAGAUAUCGAGAGGAACACCUGCGGCGAAGGCGGGUUGCUGGGCUGACACUGACGCUGAUGCGCGAAAGCCAGGGGAGCGAACGGG
This 253-nucleotide ribosomal RNA is filed under the name uncultured bacterium. Its description in RNAcentral is "partial 16S ribosomal RNA". It matches the Rfam family "Bacterial small subunit ribosomal RNA", at positions 524 to 776 of the family's 1533-position model. The record is from RNAcentral.